This 253-nucleotide ribosomal RNA is filed under the name uncultured bacterium. RNAcentral's name for it is "partial 16S ribosomal RNA". It matches the Rfam family "Bacterial small subunit ribosomal RNA", at positions 524 to 776 of the family's 1533-position model. The record is from RNAcentral.
UACAGAGGGUGCAAGCGUUGUUCGGAAUUAUUGGGCGUAAAGAGCGUGUAGGCGGCCAUUCAGGUCAGCUGUGAAACUCGAGGCUCAACCUCGAGACGUCGGUUGAAACCGUUUGGCUAGAGUCCGGAAGAGGAGAGUGGAAUUCCCGGUGUAGCGGUGAAAUGCGCAGAUAUCGGGAAGAACACCCGUGGCGAAGGCGGUUCUCUGGGCCUUACCUGGACGCUGAGGAGCGAAAGCAUGGGGAGCGAACAGG